RNAcentral lists this ribosomal RNA (506 nucleotides) under uncultured bacterium. RNAcentral describes it as "bacterial SSU rRNA". It matches the Rfam family "Bacterial small subunit ribosomal RNA", at positions 40 to 518 of the family's 1533-position model. The record is from RNAcentral.
CGGCGUGCCUAAUACAUGCAAGUCGAACGGUCUUUCUAUGGAAGCUUGCUUCCACGUGAGAAGAUAGUGGCGAACGGGUGAGUAACACGUGGGUAACCUGCCCAUAAGAGGGGGAUAACAUCCGGAAACGGGUGCUAAUACCGCAUAGUUUUCUUGAUCGCAUGAUUGAGAAAGGAAAGACGGCCUUUGUGCUGUCGCUUAUGGAUGGACCCGCGGCGUAUUAGUUAGUUGGUGAGGUAAUGGCUCACCAAGACGAUGAUACGUAGCCGACCUGAGAGGGUGAUCGGCCACAUUGGGACUGAGACACGGCCCAAACUCCUACGGGAGGCAGCAGUAGGGAAUCUUCCGCAAUGGACGAAAGUCUGACGGAGCAACGCCGCGUGAGUGAAGAAAGGUUUUCGGAUCGUAAAACUCUGUUGUCAGAGAAGAACAAGUUGGAGAGUAACUGCUCCAGCCUUGACGGUAUCUGACCAGAAAGCCACGGCUAACUACGUGCCAGCCGCCGC